CGGGAAGACAACUAGGCUUGUGAAAUCUCAUGCCUGACAGCACAAUUUUGCAUGACACUUCUGACCUGCAUGUCAAGAGAAAACGCAAGAUUGAAGAAGCCCAGAUCGCAAGGGAAGUUGAAGUUAAUGAAAACCGAAUUCGCAAAGCACUAGAGAAAGAAAAUAUUUUGAGGAGAAAGGCUGAGGAACGAAUGAGGAAAGAGAUGGAAAGAUUUGAUCGUGAAAGAAGGAAGGAAGAAGAAAGGUUGAUGCGUGAACAGCAGAGAGAGGAUGAGAGAUUGCUACGUGAGCAAAGGCGAGAAUCAGAGCGACGGGAGAAGUAUUUACAGAAAGAAUCUAUUAAGGCGGAGAAAAAGAGACAAAAGAAGAGCUUCGUCGAGAAAAAGAAGCAGAGAGACGAAAAGCUGCAGUGGAGAAGGCCACUGCUGGCAGAAUUGCCAAGGAAUCCAUGGAGCUUAUGGAGGAUGAACCGCUGGAGCUGAUGGAAUUGGCCACUGCAAGCAAGGGGUUGGCUUCAAUCGUUAAUCUCGAUCAUGUCACUAUGCAGAACCUUGAGUUGUUCAGAGGUAGGUUUUUUAUAGCGAUUACUGUUAAGACCAGUUUCACUCCAUUGAUUCAUUGAUUGUGUGAUAUUGUUGUUUUGACUAGGAUUCUAUGGCAGCUAAGAGAAGCUUUUAAAUUCCUAUGCUCUGUUUUUAUCGUGUACCUUAAAUUCAGUAGAAAGGACAUAGGGCCUGAUCCUUUCUAGAAAAUUUACCGGUGUUCCAUUGUUGUCAAGAAUAAUUCUAGAUAUACUAAAGUUAUACAAUUACCAUCAUACUAAAUGAUGUUAACAUUGGAUAUAUGAAUGAGUCACCAUCUUGUGAAUUGAAUCUAAUCCUGUCAUCACCAAUUUAAUUCAUGUCACCAUCUUGUGAUUUGAAUCUACUCCUGUCAUCACCAAUUUUAUUUGAUAGUUGUAUUUUACUUACUAUCUAAUCAUUGUUCGUUUGAUGCACUACUGUAACCUCUCACGUUUGAUGUUUAUGUAUGGAUCUUUGCGCUGAUGAGUUCCUUUCCAUAUUGUCGAGACAUUCAAGUCUGAAGACUGUGGUUGUAGGCACUUCUAAAUGUUUGAAUGGGAGAGUUUUUUUGGUUUUUCUGAUGAUGUUGGAUUAGUUAAUCGCCUAUGUUCAAAUAGUGCGGAUGUUUUGUCUUUUCUGUUUCUGAAAGAGCGCUUGCUGUGAACUCGUGCUGUCACUUUGCAUUCAAUUUUGUCGAUCCAGUGAAACAAAGUGAUAAAUACAAGCCACUAUUUUUUUUUUCCUAUUUGCUAAGUGCUUAUCACAAAAUGAAAUCAUUGGCUCAAUAGGACCAGUAAAGCUACAUUGACCAAUAAUUUUGAUCGGAACAGUAUAGAAUUUUUGGUCAAUUAUGCAUUGUGAAAGUGCAAUUUGGAGGCUUUACAUGCAUUGUUAUGAUAUCAGUCACUAAACAGAAAAUGCAACUUAGUACUGGGAGUUUACAAAGUUGUAGAGGCAUGUCACUUGGUGGCUGAUUGUUCAUUUGCGAGUCCAAGUUUGACAACCAACGAAAGCUGUUUACCAUUGAAUAUCGAGUUAAGGUAGGAGCGUGGAUUUCCUGGAGAAAAUGGUUCCUCAAUUAUUACAGACAUCAGCAUAAAUCCUCGCCAAUCAUUCGCUCCAUCAUGCAAGAAACCGGUCCUAUAAUUGCCCUCGACCUGGUCUUUCUGCUGCUGUGUCUGAAUAAUCGGACAAGAACAGGGACAGGUUUGAGUUUCGCCAAGAACAUAUUGUUCUUGCUUAUUCGUCAGUUGUAAUACAGAGAGAGGGAGAGAGAGGCAGGAAGAAUGGGGAAAGAGAAAGUGGGUUUGGUCGCAUUGCUGAUAAUUGUGUUGAGCUGGUGUGUAUCGUCGUCCUCCUACUCCUCUUCUUCUUCUUUCAGAGGUGAUCUGAGCAGAGGCAAGGUGUCUUUGACUUUCGGACGCCACAUCCGCUUUAUCGACCCAACAAGGACCUAGUAAUCUGCAGGGACCCAAUUUGUGCGUCCCUGCAUUCAGGCGACUACAGAUGUGACCACCCAGAGCAAUGUGACUACGAGGUGGAGUAUCAGAUGGCGGCUCUUCUCUUGGUGUAAUUGUAAAGGAUGUCGUUUCUUUCAGGUCCUACAACAACAGCAGGGUUCUUAGUCCUUGUGUCACCCUUGGAUGUGGAUAUGAUCAGAUACCUGGUCCGUCCAAUCCUUUCUUAGAUGGAGUGCUUGGGCUCGGUAAGGGUAGGUCCAGCAUCGUAUCACAGCUAAGUAGUCGAGGUUUGGUGGGUACUAGGCCACUGCUUGAGUACACGUGGUGGUGGAUUUCUCUUCUUCGGUGAUGAUCUUUAUGACUCCUCCCGCAUCACAUGGAUGCCUAUGUCUCAUGAUUACUCAAAGCACUAUUCUCCUGGGACCGCAGAGCUCCUUUAUGCAGGGAAACCUACUGGACAGAAAUUAUGAAUGUGAUUGGAGACAUAUUGAUGCAGGACAAGAUGGUGAUCUACGACAAUGAGAGGCAAUUGCUGGGAUGUGAAUCUAAAGAUUGCAGUAGACCUCCAAAGCCCAGAGCAUUUGCAGCAAUUAACAGGAAGCUCCUUGCCGUAUCUAACCAAGCCUUCACCUACGAAGCUCAUCAUUGCCAAGUCACUUGUAAAUAAGCCCUGAUUAAUGUUUUCCUUUGUCUUUACUGUACUGGAUGUUACAAAAUUGCUUACGGGUAUUACACCAAGUGAACUCAAUUACAGCCAUUCUUAAUAAGUAUGGGUCAAGGAAACACUUUCAAUUACUAUAUUAAUGAGUCACAAGCAGUAGUUUAGUUAGGUUAUCAGCUUUACAACAAGAG
Eucalyptus grandis is the source of this 2875-nucleotide long non-coding RNA. RefSeq lists it as uncharacterized. NCBI's taxonomy places the organism in Eukaryota, Viridiplantae, Streptophyta, Magnoliopsida, Myrtales, Myrtaceae. The transcript is spliced from 8 exons. The record is from RefSeq and is a predicted model, not a curated record.